AAGUCGUAACAAGGUUUCCGUAGGUGAACCUGCGGAAGGAUCAUUAUUGAAUGAACUUGGCGUGGUUGUAGCUGGUCCUCUCGGGGACAUGUGCUCGCCCGUCAUCUUUAUCUCUCCACCUGUGCACACAUUGUAGACCUGGAUAACUUUCCGAGGUAACUCGGCCGUGAGGGAUUGCUGUCAAGCUUUCCUUUCAUUUCUAGGUCUAUGUCUUUCAUAUACUCCAAGUAUGUAACAGAAUGUAAUCUAGGCUUUGUGCCUAUAAACUAUAUACAACUUUCAGCAACGGAUCUCUUGGCUCUC
This 303-nucleotide unclassified non-coding RNA is filed under the name air metagenome. RNAcentral describes it as "partial contains small subunit ribosomal RNA, internal transcribed spacer 1, and 5.8S ribosomal RNA". The stretch from base 1 to 46 matches the Rfam family "Eukaryotic small subunit ribosomal RNA", at positions 1786 to 1831 of the family's 1831-position model. The record is from RNAcentral.